AGAGUUUGAUCCUGGCUCAGAAUGAACGCUGGCGGCAUGGAUUAGGCAUGCAAGUCGAACGGGUACUCCGCCGCAAGGUGGAGGAAAGUGGCGAAAGGGUGAGGAACACGUGAGCAACCUGCCCUCAAGUUCGGGAUAGGCCCGGGAAACUGGGAUUAAUACCGGAUGUGGUCUUCGGUCGCAUGGCCGGAACACUAAAGGAGCAAUUCGCUUGAGGAUGGACUCGCGUCCCAUCAGCUAGUUGGCGGGGUAACAGCCCACCAAGGCAAAGACGGGUAGCUGGUCUGAGAGGAUGGUCAGCCACACUGGGACUGAGACACUGCCCAGACUCCUACGGGAGGCUGCAGUCGAGAAUCUUCCGCAAUGGGCGCAAGCCUGACGGAGCGAUGCCGCGUGGGGGAUGAAGGUCUUCGGAUUGUAAACCCCUGUCACCCGGAAAGAAGUCAGUGACGGUACCGGGAGAGGAAGCACCGGCUAACUACGUGCCAGCAGCCGCGGUAAUACGUAGGGUGCGAGCGUUAUUCGGAUUUACUGGGCGUAAAGGGUCCGCAGGGGGUUUGCCAAGUCUGGUGUGAAAGCCCGGAGCUCAACUCCGGAACGGCACUGGAAACUGGCGGACUUCGAGUGCACGAGGGGAAAGCAGAAUUCCUGGUGUAGCGGUGGAAUGCGUAGAUAUCAGGAGGAAUACCGAUGGCGAAGGCGGCUUUCUGGCGUGCCACUGACCCUCAUGGACGAAAGCGUGGGUAGUAAACAGGAUUAGAUACCCUGGUAGUCCACACUGUAAACGGUGUGCACUAGAUGUGGGCGGAGAUUUGGUCCCGUCCGUGUCCAAGCUAACGCGUUAAGUGCACCGCCUGGGGACUACGGCCGCAAGGCUAAAACUCAAAGGAAUUGACGGGGGCCCGCACAAGCGGUGGAGCAUGUGGCUCAAUUCGAGGCAACGCGAAGAACCUUACCUGGGCUUGACAUGUACGUGCCAGCCGUGGAAACACGGUCUUCCCCGCAAGGGGACGCGUACACAGGUGCUGCAUGGCUGUCGUCAGCUCGUGCCGUGAGGUGUUCGGUUAAGUCCGGCAACGAGCGCAACCCGUGUCACCAGUUGCUACCGGGUAAUGCCGGGCACUCUGGCGAGACUGCCCGUGUCAAGCGGGAGGAAGGCGCGGAUGACGUCAAGUCCGUAUGGCCCUUACGUCCAGGGCUGCACACGUGCUACAACGGGCGGCACAAAGGGGUGCAAGACCGCAAGGUGGAGCCAAUCCCCAAAACCGCCCUCAGUUCAGAUUGAAGUCUGCAACUCGACUUCAUGAAGUUGGAAUCGCUAGUAAAGGGAUAUCAGCUACGGUCCCUUGAAUACGUUCCCGGGCCUUGUACACACCGCCCGUCACAUCAUGGAAGCUGGCUGCACCCAAAGUUCCGCUUCGUGCGGACCUAAGGUGUGUCCAGUGACUGGGAUGAAGUCGUAACAAGGUA
This 1470-nucleotide ribosomal RNA is filed under the name metagenome. RNAcentral describes it as "bacterial SSU rRNA". It matches the Rfam family "Bacterial small subunit ribosomal RNA". The record is from RNAcentral.